Trachemys scripta elegans is the source of this 645-nucleotide long non-coding RNA. RefSeq lists it as uncharacterized. Lineage: Eukaryota; Metazoa; Chordata; Testudines; Emydidae. The transcript has 5 exons. The record is from RefSeq and is a predicted model, not a curated record.
GGAGGGGAAAAGCUGGAAGAAGGUUAUCAGGGAAUGGAAGCAAAAUAAGCUUCUGUUUUCCUGAUAAUAGAGGACUCUCACUGGUGAGGAGAAAGCAGCUUCUGAAAUACAGGAUCACAUUCUGCUAUGUGCAAUGUGGCAUACUUUGGGGGAACGUUGAAGAGUUCUGUGAUCUGUUACAGAGGGAGCCAGGUAAAGGGAGUUGUGAGUACCGGAAAGGAAUACAGCCUGUAUCACGAUUCAGUUCCUGAUGCACCAGUUCCAAAGUCUGCUGGCCCCUGGGAGAGGAGAAGAGAUCUCUCUCCUCCUUAUUUGUUUAUACAGACCACAGCGUCGAUACUGUCUGACAUUAUCUGAAUAUGGAGUUGUACACCAAAGAGAAGGAGGACACAAUUCUGACUCAGGCCAUGUCACGGUAGGAAGAAACUAGAGAAGGGUUGACUUACACUGGCUCUUAUACCUUCGGUUGGGAGCAUGAGGAGAGCUACUGCGCAUGUGCAGGUCAAUGGACAUUGCUUUGAAGAAUUUCUGGACUUGGGUCCAUGGUACACGUGUAACUACAUAUGGAAUACAUAUAGGGAACAUCACUCAAAAAAGAAGGUAACAAAUAUACUUUCCUUUCUAUAAUCCUAAAUGUAAACACCU